GGAAGUAAAAGGUCGUAACAAGGUCUCCGUUGGUGAACCAGCGGAGGGAUCAUUACCGAGUUUACAACUCCCAAACCCAAUGUGAACGUUACCAAACUGUUGCCUCGGCGGGAUCUCUGCCCCGGGUGCGUCGCAGCCCCGGACCAAGGCGCCCGCCGGAGGACCAACCAAAACUCUUAUUGUAUACCCCCUCGCGGGUUUUUUUUAUAAUCUGAGCCUUCUCGGCGCCUCUCGUAGGCGUUUCGAAAAUGAAUCAAAACUUUCAACAACGGAUCUCUUGGUUCUGGCAUCGAUGAAGAACGCAGCGAAAUGCGAUAAGUAAUGUGAAUUGCAGAAUUCAGUGAAUCAUCGAAUCUUUGAACGCACAUUGCGCCCGCCAGUAUUCUGGCGGGCAUGCCUGUCCGAGCGUCAUUUCAACCCUCGAACCCCUCCGGGGGGUCGGCGUUGGGGAUCGGCCCUCCCUUAGCGGGGUGGCCGUCUCCGAAAUACAGUGGCGGUCUCGCCGCAGCCUCUCCUGCGCAGUAGUUUGCACACUCGCAUCGGGAGCGCGGCGCGUCCACAGCCGUUAAACACCCAACUUCUGAAAUGUUGACCUCGGAUCAGGUAGGAAUACCCGCUGAACUUAAGCAUAUCAAUAAGCGGAGGA
Molecule: ribosomal RNA, 646 nt
Filed under: Trichoderma lixii
Lineage: Eukaryota; Fungi; Ascomycota; Sordariomycetes; Hypocreales; Hypocreaceae
Description: eukaryotic LSU rRNA
Rfam family: 5.8S ribosomal RNA (bases 258-411)
Source: RNAcentral